UGACUGACUGAAGAGUUUGAUCCUGGCUCAGGAUAAACGCUGGCGGCGCACAUAAGACAUGCAAGUCGAACGGACUUAACCAUUAGUUUACUAUUGGAGCGGUUAGUGGCGGACUGGUGAGUAACACGUAAGCAACCUGCCUAUCAGAGGGGAACAACAGUUAGAAAUGACUGCUAAUACCGCAUAUGCCUAAGUAUCGCAUGAUACAAUAGGGAAAGGAGCAAUCCGCUGAUAGAUGGGCUUGCGUCCGAUUAGCUGGUUGGUGAGGUAACGGCCCACCAAGGCGACGAUCGGUAGCCGGACUGAGAGGUUGAACGGCCACAUUGGGACUGAGACACGGCCCAGACUCCUACGGGAGGCAGCAGUGGGGAAUAUUGCACAAUGGGGGAAACCCUGAUCAGCGACCCGCGUGGAGGAAGAAGUCUUCGGAUUGUAAACCCUGUUUUGGGGAAAAGAAGAUGGUACCAACAAGGAAUUGACG
Molecule: ribosomal RNA, 481 nt
Filed under: uncultured bacterium
Lineage: Bacteria
Description: bacterial SSU rRNA
Rfam family: Bacterial small subunit ribosomal RNA
Source: RNAcentral